RNAcentral lists this ribosomal RNA (168 nucleotides) under Bokermannohyla circumdata (Espirito Santo treefrog). RNAcentral's name for it is "partial 16S ribosomal RNA". The record is from RNAcentral. Lineage: Eukaryota; Metazoa; Chordata; Amphibia; Anura; Hylidae.
ACGUGAUCUGAGUUCAGACCGGAGUAAUCCAGGUCGGUUUCUAUCUAUAAAGGGCUUUUUCUAGUACGAAAGGACCGAAAAAGCAUGGCCAAUGACUAAUUAAGCCAUCCAAUUAACUUUUGACUUCAGCUCAAUCAGUAAAUGACCUAAAACCCUACUUAAAAAGUA